Salvia miltiorrhiza (redroot sage) is the source of this 397-nucleotide long non-coding RNA. RefSeq lists it as uncharacterized. The record is from RefSeq and is a predicted model, not a curated record. The transcript is spliced from 3 exons. Lineage: Eukaryota; Viridiplantae; Streptophyta; Magnoliopsida; Lamiales; Lamiaceae.
CCAAAAAUAUUACCAAACACCUCAAUCCACUCUUAAAUCUUCCAUAAACACAUUCUAGCUACUUAUAUUCAAGAGAAUCCUUGAAGAAGAGCUUCAAAGCUAGAGUGAGAAAGUGUGAAUCUUGGUAAGAAAUUUGGGUCCGGGCGACAGGAAGUGAAGCCGAAGAAGAAGCGACUCCACGCUAGCUUAAGAACGUUUGAGGUUGAGCAGCUGAUGGAAUGGAAUGGUGUUGAGCGGGUGUUCCUUUGAUCAUUUCAAGAAAUGUAACCUUGAGUAUACAUCUUCAUAUGUAUAUCUCACACGUUUUCCGCUGCAAAACACUUUGAUUAGGAUAACUCUAUGUUAUGAAAUUGUUACACGUGUUAUUGAGUAACCCACCUUAAUCAGUUCUCCUUUA